GAUGAACGCUGGCGGCGUGCCUAAUACAUGCAAGUCGAGCGAACAGACGAGGAGCUUGCUCCUCUGACGUUAGCGGCGGACGGGUGAGUAACACGUGGAUAACCUACCUAUAAGACUGGGAUAACUUCGGGAAACCGGAGCUAAUACCGGAUAAUAUAUUGAACCGCAUGGUUCAAUAGUGAAAGACGGUUUUGCUGUCACUUAUAGAUGGAUCCGCGCCGCAUUAGCUAGUUGGUAAGGUAACGGCUUACCAAGGCAACGAUGCGUAGCCGACCUGAGAGGGUGAUCGGCCACACUGGAACUGAGACACGGUCAAGACUCCUACGGGAGGCAGCAGUAGGGAAUCUUCCGCAAUGGGCGAAAGCCUGACGGAGCAACGCCGCGUGAGUGAUGAAGGUCUUCGGAUCGUAAAACUCUGUUAUUAGGGAAGAACAAAUGUGUAAGUAACUAUGCACGUCUUGACGGUACCUAAUCAGAAAGCCACGGCUAGCUACGUG
RNAcentral lists this ribosomal RNA (497 nucleotides) under uncultured bacterium. Its description in RNAcentral is "partial 16S ribosomal RNA". It matches the Rfam family "Bacterial small subunit ribosomal RNA", at positions 28 to 507 of the family's 1533-position model. The record is from RNAcentral.